RNAcentral lists this small RNA (449 nucleotides) under Pongo abelii (Sumatran orangutan). Its description in RNAcentral is "processed transcript". Lineage: Eukaryota; Metazoa; Chordata; Mammalia; Primates; Hominidae. The record is from RNAcentral.
AAUGAAGCCGCGGACCCUCGCAAAGGACUUUGGACAACAAUUUCUUUGACUGAAACUGGGGUCAGAGUUGCAGACUCCCUGGAACAUGAAAAGUCAAUAAUCUAGUUCCCAAAAGGUAGACAAGAAACUAUUCCCAAGAUGAACAAACGAUGAGAAUAGAGGUAAGGUGAAAAUGAUGCUUUGAUGCCUGAAGGUACAACAAACAUCUCAUGACUAUGAAGGGAUGAAAAUGGAUACCAAGGAUACCAAGAUGAUGGAACAAAAAGAAUUGAUUUGGAACAUGACGGCACUAUGGAUUCAUUGUAUUGGACCUCUGUGAUAUAAUUCCGAACUUUUCAUAUAAGACUAAUAUACCCCUACUUGUUUAAGACAACUGUAGAGUUUUCUGCUACUUGCAGCCAAAUGUAAUCCUAACUAAUAUAGGCAAGAAAUCAUGUUUUUAUAUCACU